This 863-nucleotide long non-coding RNA is filed under the name Apteryx owenii (little spotted kiwi). RNAcentral describes it as "lncRNA (ENSAOWG00000004747.1)". Lineage: Eukaryota; Metazoa; Chordata; Aves; Apterygiformes; Apterygidae. The record is from RNAcentral.
CUCUCAAUUGGAAAUCUCUGCUUGAAAAGAUACUUGCACUGAUGUUUAGGAUUGUCAUUGACUAGAUGACCGGUGUGUUGUCCUACCAGUGUGUGGAAAUGCCAACAGAAAAAACAAAUCAAUAUUGCUGUGUUCACUCAACAGAAGAUCUUGUCUGUCUUUCAAAACAGUCAUGCAAGUCAUGACACGGUCACAACGGUCCCAUAAGUGUACUUGUAGAAUACUGUGCAACCUGAUGUCAUUUUAGUAUCAAAUAAAAAUUUUCAUACAGACAGUAAAUAAAAUAAUUUUUAAUAUUAAAAACACUAUAAUUAAGAUGUUGCUACCUGAGUUUUCUUGCAAGUCAUCAUAAUUUUAUCUACCUUUUAUAACUUUGUAGGUGUCAUAUAUUGCAGAGAAAAAUUUGAAGACUUAAGCUCAAAGGCACAAGCAAUACUGGAGUGAGCUGGUACCUAGAGCCCAUACUGACUGUCUGGUGUGGAACUGAAGUCUAUAUUGAACUGGAGGGGACCUCGUUGUAUCCAGUGCUCUGUAAAUAUGCAAUUGUCCAACUUCACCAUCAGUCCAGAGGCUGAAUUUUGUGGCAGUGUAACCUGGAACGCCUCUACCUGUGGGGAUCGACAGAUGGAAGGAAGAACAGAAGGUGACGACAGCAGCUGUAGAACUACACAAUCCUCCUUUGGAGUAUUUCAUAUGAGGAUAUCUCUUUGAGGCUGACAGGCUGUCAUUUACCAGAAGAUGCCUAGUUUGUGAUGGUGUUGCUGAUGUACACUAAUAGUAAAAGAGUCUGGAAUACCCCAGUGCACUUUGAAAACAAAGUGUGAGUUGCUUGGGAUAUUCCUAUAUAUAUUGGGUGCGGAGGG